RNAcentral lists this ribosomal RNA (490 nucleotides) under uncultured bacterium. RNAcentral describes it as "partial 16S ribosomal RNA". It matches the Rfam family "Bacterial small subunit ribosomal RNA", at positions 28 to 507 of the family's 1533-position model. The record is from RNAcentral.
GAUGAACGCUAGCUACAGGCUUAACACAUGCAAGUCGCGGGGCAGCAUGGGGGUUGCUUGCACUCCCCGAUGGCGACCGGCGCACGGGUGAGUAACGCGUAUCCAACCUGCCCUUCACCACGGGAUAACCCGGCGAAAGUCGGACUAAUACCGUAUGUUGUCCAUUGACGGCAUCCGAUUUGGACGAAAGGUUUGGCGGUGAGGGAUGGGGAUGCGUCCGAUUAGCUGGACGGCGGGGUGACGGCCCACCGUGGCGACGAUCGGUAGGGGUUCUGAGAGGAAGGUCCCCCACACUGGAACUGAGACACGGUCCAGACUCCUACGGGAGGCAGCAGUGAGGAAUAUUGGUCAAUGGGCGUAAGCCUGAACCAGCCAAGUAGCGUGCAGGAUGACGGCCCUAUGGGCUGUAAACUGCUUUUAUGCGGGGAUAAAGUGGCCCACGUGUGGGUUUUUGCAGGUACCGCAUGAAUAAGGACCGGCUAAUUCCGUG